CCUGGAAGAUAGAAUUUAUAUACUCUAAAAGCUUAAGUUUAUAGAGAAUAGUGUUUAAAUAUUUUUAUAUUUAACACUUCCCCUCACGUUUGGGCUCAAAAUUUUUCGUAGACCCGUAACGUGGACUUGAAUUAAAUGGAAAGAAAUUAAUAAAACUACGAGACUGACAUUACUAAAACUUAGAACCUCCUGCUAUGAUACCAUGUGAAACAACCGUUGUACUUUAAAAUCUUAAGCUUAUAGAGAACGGUAUUUAAAUAUUUUUAUAUUGAACAAUAAGCAUAGAAACAAUCCAGCAGUGGCAUCACUAGACAAUUAAAUGAUUCCUUUGGACGACUCUAAUGUAUGGUCAAAUGUAAGUUCCUUGACGACCUUGGCUGAUUCUGUUUGCAACCUGCAAUAAAGGGUUAAACAAUUUGAAAGCAUUUUACCAGUGGGAACAGACCAAUUCAUUCCUUCAAAAUAAUGCGAUGAAUACAGAUGAAAGGAGAUUGAAAAAAGAAGCAACUAUCUGGGUUAAGAGCCAUUCAUUUAAAGUAGCACCUCUAAACCACUGAUAAGCUAGCCUCUCCUAGCUCUUGUGCCUCUGAGGAUAAGCCCCUUACUUCAAUUGUCAGACCUUACAAGAACAAAAAUUCGUUACUGGGGAAGAUGUAACUGAUAUGCUAUUUUGAAGUGCACUUAGGUAUCGCAACUAGAAGUGCAGAGACCAUAUCAAGUUGGUUGAAAUGGCUCCUGCAGCACAUCCUAUAUAGGUUAAACAGGAAUGGAUCAAGCCAAAUUGCCUUGAAAAAGUAAUCCAAUCCCCACUUCUUGCUCUCAAACUAAAAUUAGUGGUCUACAUAAUUUCCUUUCCCCAAACCAAUAAAUUGCAAAGGUUAAUAUGCUCAUUUUCCAUCAAACAAGAAAUUUAUGGCACAUCAUAGAGGAAUAAGAGCUCUCGGAGAAUGAGUAUCACACUGAAAACCACAGAAAGAUAGAUAUUAUGUGCUUUCAUCUAUUCAUUCAAGACUGAUAAAGUUCUCACUUGAAAGUGCCUUAUAAUUAGUUUACUACUAGAAAGCCUUUUUUUAAAAAAUUUACUACAUAGAUCAACUAACCACUUAUAUGCUCAAGAAGAUAUGACCAUAGUACUUAAACUUUGGCAUCAAGUGAUGGUUGUUCCCAGCUUUAAAUUAAGGCCGCACAAAUGCAAAAAGCAAUGAACCGUCAAAUGACAAAAAUAGCAGAGCUUAAUUUAAAAUACAAAUACAACUUCAAGGGAAAUAAACAUAUACCUUAACCUUGACACCAAUUAGCAGAAAAUGGUAUUCACUAUUCAGAUACUACAAAGGAUCUGGGAUUAACAGCUUCAUCCAGCUAGCUAAACUUUGAGUAGUAUAAUAGGCCCUUGGUUUCCACAAAAUUUUCAUCACCAGUCGCUGAGCCGCUCAAACAUAUUGAAAUAUCAUAGAGACAAAUAAAAACAUUGAACAUCAAAAAAUAACUGACAAAAUCAAAGGAUUCAAAUGAAGACAUCAUUGCAAAAAAGAAAAUGGAUAGAUCAUUCGCAAUGCUGACGUACCAGGUGGUAAUCAAUACACAAGUUAUUUUUCCUUCAUAUACAUGAGAAACAAAAGAUUCUAAAAAGAUGAUUUACCUAUGCUGGGCACCAAAGUUCAAGUCCCCAUGGUAAAUUCCAGCUCUGGAAAGCCAAUCAAAAUGUUUCGCUCUUCUUUGUUUAAUAAAGAAUUUAAAUUCACUGCAUAUCAUGAAAGAGAGACCAAUUCAAUUCCAAAUAAUGAUUACAAUAUUCAAAUACAACCAUUAAUGCUGUAAGGAUAGUAAAAAAUAAAAUUAGAAGAGCAAUACUAUAAUAGCAUAACGAUGUAAAAAUACAUUAGUUAAUCAGAUAACAAGCCUAAAUAAUACUUGAAAUUGUGAAACAGGAAAUCGGAUUUCAUGAUGCUGAACACCUUCAUCAGCCCAUUUCAUCUAAUGGACUCUCUUUCUUUACAGGCCGACUGAACCACCAGCACACUGAACUACUCCCUGUCAGCCUACUGAACCACCAGCACACUGAAUUGUUGCUUGUUGAUUGACAACAAAGCCUACCGGAAAUGGACACGAAUCUCAAAUUCUGAUUGUCUACGUUUUAUAUAAAUUGAGUCACACUGGGUCAUUAUUUGGGUCAAUAAAGUGUUCCAUUUAGUUCUUAGGUCUCUAAUUUCAGAUUAGACCAUUAGGGGGACCAGUUGGAGUUCUUUUUGGUUUAGGACUGAAAUGAUUAAAAUUUAUAAGUUAAUAUUGGAGUUUGAGCCAUAAUUGGAUCUCAAUUUGGUGUCCUUUGGGUCAUUAUGACAAAAGUGGAUUUAUUUAUUAAGGAUUUAUUUGAUUCUUACUGUCUUCCCUGCCGUGAGUAUCCCUUUGCCCUCUUUUUCUUCCUCAUCACCUCCACUGCUUAUUCUGAUUCUCCUUCCCUUUCUUCUCCUCUCCUCAUUCUCUUCUGCUUCUCCCACCUACCUCAUUUUUGCUGUUGAAUACUCAUCCCAACCCCACCAUAGCCAGCAGCCAACUGCAGCUCAAUCGCUGACAACUGUAGCCCGAUUGGUACAAUGCAGCAAUAGUAAUGCUAUUUUGUCAGCCAAACUAUAUGUGCAUCUAGGGAUUGCUUCUGGAAUCUAAUUUCGAUUAUUUCCAACCAAUACCGUAUGGUUGACUCAUAAGUCACCCAGGCAAGACUACGUCAUCUAGAACCACAAAAAUAUCACGCAAAAACAGAAGUAAAAUAAGUGAUGUCGAGUUACACAAGAGAAAGAAAAAAGAAAAGAAGAAAUGCCAGCUACCCAAGUACUUUAUCACCUCAAUAGAGGCAAUUUAACUUGUAGAAACUUUCUGAUGCUAUUCAACCUAUACUAUUAUCACAUCAUGGAAAUAUGUUUAGCUCAAAUCUGAAUUCCACGUGUUCUGUAAACCAGAGGACUUAAAAACCAAUACUUUUCAAGCAUAUGAAUCACGUGAAUAUUGUAAACACUUUAUCAGUCUCCAGCUACAAAUUAACCCCACUUUUCCAGCCAAAGGCUAUUGUGGGCCCACCCAGCAAUCCUAUAACCACCCAAGUUAUGUCAAACAGAGAGUGGAGGAGUCUAUAAAGUAACCUGAUGAUACUAAUGUUAACUGCAAAAGAGAAGGAGAUAAUUGAUGGCUUCUUUAACAAUUUGCAUUUAACAAAAAAGAAAAAAAAAACAUAAAUCAAAAUACCACCUGUUUGGUAUCUCUCCGGGAAGUUCCAUAAAAUGUACCGCAUGGUCAGAAUAACUUGCAAAGACCAUCUGCAAAGCCAUUUUCAUAACAACCAUCACAAAUCCAAGUACAAUUACAAAUCCUGCACUGAUACUUAUAUUUUGAAACUCAAAAUAUCGGCUUGUCUAAACCCUAAGAAAACUCGCUUCCUGCUUAGAUCAACACAGACAAGCAAACUCUGGAGGAAAGAUUCUUACCACAUCUUCCUUGAUAUGAAGGAAAUGAAGAAAGGAAAAACUACCAGGAUUACAAAAGAAGAGAAGCAAAAGAUAAAGCAGAACAAAAGGAGAAAUGCCAAGUCUAUAACCAAAAAGGGUUGUAUUCUUACAAUUCAUCCAAGGGCGCCUAGGGUUUACUAACCCCUUAAAGAAAAAAGGAGUGAUAAGACUAGCAGAGAGAAAUUGGCCUUCAGAUGAGUUAGGAUUACAACCUCUCUUUGGCUGUAGCCUUAGCAUUUCUCGAACAAAAAAUGUGUAGUACUAAUAAAUAUUAUUGAACAGACCAAAUGAUUCAAUGAGAGACCUCUUUAUUCCCUGUUGGAAAUGGCAACCGGUAACCAGCAAUAGGCAAUAAGCCCCAUCACAUUUCCACAUUCCUUUUGUGUACGUCAAAGCCUGAUAUCUCGUCUCAAAAACAAUUUUAAUGACCUCUGCUAUCAACAUCCUCUGGAUUUCUUGGCUACCAGAUCUGAUUCAUCAACGUCGUAUCGGACACAAAACCAUACUGCCACAUAGACAGAGAUAAAAGUUUGUUAGACUAUACAGGCUUAAAAUUGCAUAGUAUUAUUGCAGAGAUUGAUUUGGAAACCUACUUAGGUUAGGUGCUACACAGACCGAGACAACUAAGAUUUACAAAGUAUUCUCAAAAUCUCGAACCUAAAUGCGGCAGAGAAGCAGUUAUUCGCUGCAGCUUCAAAAUUAACUACUCACAAAGAGCAGUCCAACUAUCUGCAUUGUGAUAUGUUGUUUAGCCUUGAACUCUUUCAAACAGUUGAGAAUACGCUCCUGGAGAUAUUUCCGCAGCUUUUUUAGAAUCAUUCUCUAAAUUAGGAACUCUAUCAUGUUUGCCAAGAAUGACGAGACGGAAGGAUCAUGAGGUCACAAAGCAACCGUAGCAAACUUCUCAUUAUGCUCCUCUUCUCAGGAAAAGGGAUCUAAAAGGUCAGCUUCUUGAAAAGACCCAACUUUUGCUUGCCAAAUACCUAGCUCCUGCUUCUUCAUUAGAAGCUUUUCAAAAAGCGAGAUCAAAAAAGGAAUAGGAUCAAGGAAUACAAAGUUUAUAAAAUCUUCGAAAACUACUUGUGCUUCAUUUCUAAGAAGGCUCUCUUAUCCAAACUAGUUAAGCAGUUUACAAGUUACAAAGACGAAGCUCAUGUUCAGCAAAACCAUCACAAGGCUUCCACACAAGCCAACAUUGAUUCCAGCUCCAUUCCAAGGCCAAGCCUGUUGCUCUAUGCCACUUGUUCUAUACUGAAAACGUGAUCAGGCAAUUGUCAAGAGGAGAUUACGCCAAGUCUAUGUUCUGAUAAUAAUUAAAUCUGCUAUAUCGCUUUCCACAGGACCACAUAAGGCCAAUACCUUUUCAAAGCUUCUAGUCCUGUGACUAAUCAAAAGCGUAAGGGGCAUACAUUUUAGAUCCACAAAUUUAAACCACUUUGCAGACAUCCAUAAUCAAAGCCUUUUAACAGAAAAAGACACCCCAGCAUUAAGGGGAAGCAAGCUCCAGUGCGAGCCAUUUGUGUCAAUACAACAGCUAUGCCAGUUGAUCUGAUAUGAACCUUCAGGAAACGCAGAAACAUUCAGCAAGUAAAUUGAGAAUCCCGGCCCUCUCUCAUUUGGUUCAAAACACACACAAGCUGUCACCAAAUCCUCAUCUCCAUUCACAAUGUUUAUCUCAUUGGCUUUUCCAGCAUCUUCUUUAAGGUACUGCAACAGUAUGGCAUUUAAUUGUACCAUUUCGUUAAUCUUGCGAGGACGAAACUCCCACGUAUUUUCAGCUUCCCCUUUUCCUAAGGGUAAGCGAGAAGAUACCCUUGCAGCAAGAAUGCAGUACAGCUUAGCGAGCUGAGCUGAAGUUCUUGCUAACAUGUUCUUUAACUGAAUGCAGAGAUUUAGCGAUAACUGGAAACCAGGUGGUGUUAUUAUUUUGUCUUUGUUUCCAGAAUCUGCACCGAAUAUGAAUAGCUCGGCACCAAUGCAAUGCCUGCAACAGCAUUCGAGUGUGAACCAAUUAAUAUACAGAAUCUAGGCUGCAUUUUGAUAAUUGUCAAAAAAGGACAAACAAAGAGACAAACAUAUAUUAUUUUUUGCACAGCCAAGUAAGAAUUAUGGAGAGAUAGAUAAUUUUAAUUACUCUGAAGAACCUCGGAGUUCCACAUAUUUGUGAAUGGCCAAAUGAACCUUUAAAACUCCCAAAGUUAUCAAGAUUUUUGUAAGCUGUGGUAUCAAUAACCCAAGUCACUAAAAUCAAAUGGAAACUGUUAAUGCAGUAAAUGUGAACGAUAAAGAGAAGCAGCAUUUGGCUCUGAAUCUAUCAAUAUGAAAUAAAUAAUGCUAAGCAACAAGGAUUUAAGUGCCCUGGCAUGGGGUCGUGCUGGAAACUUGUUGGCACGGUGCGUGCCGGACCGUGCCGAUGCAUGCCGAUCAAAACAAAUACAAGUGUGCCGACACAUAAUGGCAUGAACUAUUUAUUUUCUUUAGCAACAAAAUACUCCAACUGUUUAUUAUGUAUUUUUUUCAAAUAUUUUGAAUUGUAUUGAAAAAAUUACUUACUAAUUUAAAGAAUAGAGGGUUUUGAGCUGUGCCAUCGGCACGAGGACUGUAUUGUGCCGAUAUCUUGCUGGCACAAUACGACACGGUGGAUACAACCUGUGCCGAUGGACAUUUAAAUCCUUGCUUAGCAACCAACAAGAUCUUCAAAACUAUUGGAUUUAUGAAGCUACCUAUAAUGCAAUUUAGAACUUUGGCGUAAGAGUUUUUAAAAAUAAUACCUUGUCCUAAAGUAGUAUCUAGGAAGCUGGAAAGGUAGUUCCAUUGACUUCUGCAGAAUGUCAUACAUAAGUUGCAGCCCUCUAUUAACAAGAGACUGCAGUUCCCCUUUGUCUAUUACACCUUUUGCAUCUCUUCUAAUACAAAGCAAUCCUUGUAGAGCAAACUGAAAAAUCAAUAAAUAAUCCCUAUCCAUGUAAUUGGCACAAUUGAGUUGUGAUUUAGUCUUAAGGACUUGUUAGUCAAACCAAGUAGUAGAGUCUUCAUAUUCUCUGUUGUUGCUGCAAAAUGAAUCUUUUCAUUUCCAACCUCCUUAUUGAGGACCAAGGAUUUAAGUGUCGUGGCACGGGGUCGUGCCGGAAACUUUCGGGCACGGUAUGGCACGGUGCGUGCCGAGCCGUGCCGAUGCGUGCCGGUCAAAAAAUGGAUUGAGGAAACUUGGAAUUAAACUCCCAGGAAUGUGACCUGCCCUGCCUACUGCUUUUACCUCACCCUACUGAAGAUGAAAAAGGCGAAGGAAAUAGCAAACCAAAACAAGCAGAAAACACAUGAAUGGGAAAGGAAUAUGUUCUCUCUUUUCACCAGGAGGAUGAACAGUGAACUUGGUUUUCCGUUGGCUUGCCUUUAGGCAUGAUGAAAGUUGUGUCUUAAAGGAAUGACCUUUUGAGUCGAGGACUGAUUUAAAGUCUCUUUGUAGUGCACGUAAGUGCAUUGUGAAGGGCUAGCUCUUUCUAAGGUUGUACUUAAGUGUGUUUACAUAACCCACCUUUUAUGAUGGAUUUGUAAAUUGUGCCUUGCCCCUAUCCCGGCCGAAACCAGGUAGGCUUUUAGGCUGCCAUCGUGUGGAGUAGAUCAUUUAACUCGAAUUUCGGGAGGGAGUUGACCAAGAUGGAAUUGAGGGGGAGAUUGAAAGUCAAUCCACAAUAGUGUGCGGGAAAAGAACACCUUAAGCCCAACUGAGUGUGUAUCAAACGAAGAGUCUUCUGGGAACGCUGCAGUGGUAGAGUCUACAAUUCCAAACUAUGGCAUGGAAAGCUUUUGAUAAAUGCAACAAAUGGGGAAGACACCUACCAGAUCGUGUGCGAGACAAGCUAAAAUAUUUUGGAAAAAACUAAGACAAAAAAAUGUUUUUUAAAGAAGACCUAGAAGGCAUUGAUCAAAAAAAACUUUAAGCAAAUGUCCAACAGAGUGGCAAGUGCGGUAUUUAACUUACCGACUAUGAGGUGGCCAACUUUCAAGGAUUCAAAAAUUUGUUGUUUUGAGGGUCCUGCAUUAAGCAUUUGUUGUUGGAACGUCAUGGGUUGAAUUAUCAGUCCAAAGAGACAUGAUUAAAUUUGUAAUGAGUAGGUUUAGGUGUGAAUUUUACUAGACUAUAAGAUGAGAGAAGGGAGAAAAUGAAGUACAAAAGCUUAGCAAGAAAGCAUUUAGCAUUUCUCCAAAUAGUACCGCUCAACAAGCGCUACACCUUAUAAUCAGAAUAAAAGGACUCAAUAUCUCUCAUCUUCCCUCUAUAGAAUCUCUAAUAUUUGUACUUGGAUUUGAAUCAACCUGGUUUAUCUAAAGCUACAAAUAACAAAGAGACGUGGUUGUUAAAAUAUCUCUAAAAAUUAGUCUUGGGAUUUGAAUCCAACUUUUAUUUCCAAAGUUCUAAAAAAAUGGCUAGGCAAAUGAUGGUCGGCCUGCUUCUCUAUAGGCAACCACUUUCAGCCAUUUUACAUGUUUCAGCAUAAAUAUUUUUAUUUUUAAAUUAUUUGGCAUUUAAUUGUAAAAGCUGAUAAUGGCACAAUCUAAACCUUAUUUAUAUUUCCUAGGUUGAUAUUUAGUAAUCAGAGGCAAAAAGAAACGAAUUAGUUUCCACCUCACUUUCUUUUCUAGCUUUUACUUAAGUUCUAGCUUAUUUUUAUGGCAUUUCCCUGAAUGACAAUAUCUUUGAGUGAAUGAAGCAAGUUAUAUGGCACUACUGAUAACUAUCCUUACCUCAAUAAUAAUAGCUAUCAACUCUUACAUUAUACAUUUAUCCAAGUGUCCACGGCAUUCAACAGAUCGGAAACUAGUUGUACAUAGAAGAACAUGACAGGAAAACAAAGAUUACAAAACAGCACAAAUUUAUGGCACAGGCAGAAGCCGCAGAACACAACACGCACUUUAAAACAUCAUAGAUUUAUGUUACUAGUUACACAUAGAAGAAUAUGGCAGGACAAGCAAACAUUACAAAACAGCUUAGGACAAGCAUACAGUACAAAACAACUCAAAUUUAUGGCAUAGACAUAGGAAGAACAAAACGGCAGAUUUGCUACCCUCUCACAUACAUUUAUCAAUGCAUAAAUUGCUAUCAAAAUAAGCAAUACCAUUACACUAGUUAAAAUAUACACUAAACUCAAAUUACAAGCUCCACACUUAAGACAUACUAAGCAUAGUGCUAACCCCCUUAAUAUUUUGACUCAAAUAACAUGAACUCAUAAACAAAUUGUCAAAUUGAGAUGCCAAUCGUACACUAACUCUAAUAUCUAAACCAAAUUGAACUUAAAUUAAGAAACUUAAAUAUAAUUCAAAAAAAAAAUUUAAUUAAGAACAAAAACUUAAAUUGAAAUUUAAUGUUUACUAAACAUAUAAACUUUUAUUAGGAUUUCAACUUAAAUUUGGAUUUUCAAUCUGAAUAUUAAUUAAAAUUAAAAUUCACAAUUCAAAUUUGAAUUUGCAUUUCGAUUCCUAUCCUCCACUCUUGAUCUCCAAGUGCUAAUAACGUUAAAUAAUUAUAAACUGUUCUCAAUUAAUGUGGUAUAUAUUUUUGUUAUAUACUAAUUAUCUCAUGAAUUAGCUGGUUAAUUUAUUAAUUUAUUAAUCAUUUAACUAGCAUUUUGAUCAAUUCAUUUAUUACCCUUGAUUAAAUAGCUAAUUAAAUAUUUAACUAUUUCGUGUUCUUAAGCACUUUUUAAUAUUUAUAUUCGUUAACUGAUUUACUCACUAACUAAUUACCUAACCGAUUUACAACUUAAAUAAUUAACAUAUAAAGUAAUUUAUUCAUAGUUAAUGAACAUUUUUCAUUUCACAUAUCUUCGAAUGUAACAAUUAUUAGCUUUCUUGACAAAAUUCUCUAAUUGCUUCUUCAUUUAUAAUUGCAUAUCCGAAUUCACAAUUUUAACAAAUCCGAAUUCACAAUUUUAACAAAUCUUAGGCCAUUAUCAGUCAAAGGAGAAUUAUUAAAAGCCUUUGGGUUUCACAAUUUGAGACUCUACAUAUGUUAGAAACUACGCAUUAAUGCUUUUUUGUUAAAAGCUCUGAGUUGAAAAUUUGUUCUGAAGGAUCAUAGGCUUUUGAAUUACAGCAAAAGCUCUAAAAUUUUUCUUUCAAAAUGCUCUAGUAGAGAUUCUUGUAGCUAAAAGCAGAGGCGAAAUUUAGGUCUCACACUAUGCCAAACAGGCACUAGAACAAUCAUCACUGAUCUAGAAAACAAUGCCAUAAAUGGCAUUGCAAAAACGGACCAGAUCAAGUUGGCAUUUAGUACCCAUUCGGCUAGCUUUUGCAUCAGCUACGGCUCAAGCCAUCUAUAGUAGAAUGUUGGAGAAACGAAAAAGUUUGGAGCUUUUGCUAUGUUUGGAAGUUGUAAUAUGCUUACAAGCCUCAAAAAACAAAAAGUAGACUUUGAAAGGUUUUAACAAAAAAUGAGGGAGUUUUAAAAAGAAAGAAGUUAGUGUUGCUUCAAAUUGCACUGCUUGAUGCUAUGCUUGAAAGUUGUAAUAUGCUUACAAGCCUCAAAAGCAAAAAAUAGACUUUGAAAGGUUUUAACAAAAAAUGAGGGAGUUUUAACAAGAAAGAAGUUAGAGUCUCGUAAUCGGGGUUAAUGGACGAUACGUCUCCCUGCCCCCUCUAACACCAGAGAUCAAAUUUUCAUCCUCCAAACCCAACAUAUUUUCUGUACUAGUAAUUCAUUUUUUCUAAACCUAUUUCAAAUAUUAAAUUUCACACAUACACCUACUUAGGGAACUAUAUUCAAAAUCUCCUAAAUCAAUAAAUCAAUUCUUAGAGUUCAUCGUCCUCCGUAAGAGAAUAUAAAUACAUCUUUAUCAAUAAAACUUUUUGAUUUAGCUGCACACAGUCAACUAAUUAAAAACCUAAUUUGUGCCAUCAAGUUCUUUCAAAUUGAUGUAUUAGUUUAAUAUAGCCAGUGCUACCCUCUAAAAGCACCUGCUACUAGAAAGGAGAAACUUUCCUUUCUGAUGUAAAAAGUGGAUUCUGCCCCACAUGUUGAAGCCAUUAAAAAAAAUUUUGAAGUAAUUAUCGGCCAUGGUUGUUAUAUCUUACUUGUGCCUGAGUUUGCAAAUAUAAAGCUUAAUCCUUACAGAUCAAGGCCCUUCGCAAGAUAUUCAAUUAUAUCAUCUUACGAACAUCUACAAUGUAAGUACUUGGAUCAUGGUAUUUUCAGCCAUGGUUGUUAUAUCUUUCUUGUGCCUGAGUUUGCAAAUAUAAAGCUUAAUCCUUGCAGAUCAAGGCCCUUCGCAAGAUAUUCAAUUAUAUCAUCUUACGAACAUCUACAAUGUAAGUACUUGGAUCAUGGUAUUUUCAGUCCAUUGAGCAAUUCAAUCUUUUCAAUAGUAGCCAUUGUCAUCAACACUACAAUAUCAAUUUUCUUUAAUGCAACCACGCUCCAUUCACAAUAGCAAAUUUGUAAGACUCGCUCUCCAAAUUCAAAGUCCACAAGAUUUAAAACCACAUAUACUUUAGACAACAAAUAAUAAGAUGGUAUCAUCUUCAGAAUCAUAACGAAGAUUAAAAAUAGACUUCAUAAUUAAGAAAUACUUGAUUUAAUCUAUACGGUUAUCAAGAAACACCAUACCUUUAAGGAACACUCAAAAUCUAAUAUUGCCAAAAAAAAUUUACAUAAAUAUUUUAUGAUACUUAGAACACAUGCGUAGGCUAGGUGCAUGAAAUAAUUUUUCCUUUAGAUGCCCACCCCUACUUAAAAGUGGACCAACAUUGUGGGUGUAAGGGCUACUAUGUAUGCCCCCAACAGAUUCGGUCUGAUUUUUUCUUGGGCCAGGCUAACUCUAAUGUUUUUAUAACAUGCUAUAUCUGCUGGAGUGCAACUGCACCAAGUCUUCUCAUUGACAAGUCUAUAGUUGGACCUUUUUUUGUACCAUAAAAUACAAAGUUUUCACUUUUGACCUAAAAUAUCCAAUCUCUCGCACCAGUGGGUCACACAAUUAAUGGACCUUAGGAACAGGACAGACGAUUGCCCUAAACCCUAAACCAUGCUUUUAGAAGUCAUUGUCCUCGAUGAGAGAAUACUCAAUCAAACCACACCUUUAUUAACAAACAAAACUACUGGUUAUAGUCGCCUAGAAAAGAACCUAUUCUCAUUGCUUUGAGUAAUGUUAAUUAUCAACUCCACCAACUAGAGGAAUAUUCCACUUAAACAAAGAAACUUAUCUUUAUGAUGUUUCUAUCUCGCAUGUUGAAGCCAUCUACAUAAUUUUUUAUGCAUUUAUCCACUAUGUUCAUUAUAUCUUGUGCCAAAAGAACAAGCCGUCUGUCCAAAGAAAAAUGGUCAAAGGGAUAGAUUUAACGGCCGAAAACUUAUGAGUAGAAAAUGAUCUAUACUCAUAGGAGUUUGGUAGCCGGACUCUACAAUAAAAUAAUUUACAAAUACAAAACAUGGGCCUCCACAAAACCCGAUGGGUAUUGAGCAUUGGGCUUGGGACUGAGCCGGGCCUUAAUUUUUUUUAAGAAAUUGGGUAAAAGCCAGACCCGAAGCCCGAUAUUUUUUUUGGGCCAGGCUUGGGUAUAGUAUGACCCGACCCAAGCCCGGCCCACAGGCCCAAUCAGUGAGCAAGGCCAUAAAGCUAUAAUAUUUUGUAUUGAUUUGGCCUAUACUUGUCGAAUCUAUCCAAAAUAUGUGUAGGCCAGUCUAAAUCUGAUGUUUUGUUACUAGAUCGGGCUUAAGUUUAUUAGUUAUAUCCGUUAGUUUUUUUUUACACAUACAAAAAUUGAAAUUUCGAUGAGCUUUUUAUUUACACAUACAAAAAUUGAAAUUUCGAUGAGUAAGGCCCAUGUCAAAAUUAAUCAUGGUGGCUCGUUGGUGGUUCCAUUAGUCUCUGGGCCAAGUGUGCAGAUAUUUUCAAGUGGGCUCGGGCUAAAUUUUAAAAAUUGAUUAAAAAUUGAGAGUCCAUACUUGAAUUCACAUAUUGAUUAAAAACUAUAACUUCAAUUACUUCCAAAAAGAUUUAAAUAAUAAAAAAGUCGAAAGGAUUCGUGAAUAGUCCUAUCAAGUAGGUACUGGUGCACUGUUCAGGCUCUCAAAAUCCAACUAUUUGGGCUCUCAAAAUCCCUAGAACUAAUGAGAUCUUGAAAAUGAGGAUCUUCCGCCAAUCAUCUAAGACAAAUGAUGGGUUGGGGGAGAUAUUUUUUGAAAGUGCGUGGAGAAGAUCAAACUCGAUGUAGUGCUUCUAGAUUUGUUGACGAUUUUGACAAGAUUGCUUUCAAAUAAGUAGACUCUCAACCGCCCUAAUGAACGUACGAAUGCAGAGGCAAAAGUGUAAAGAAAGAGGAUGGAAAAUUUUGUAUUUGUGGCGGAACCUUUGUAAGCAGCCCGGUCUGGUAAGACCUAUUUUUUAAAACAGCUAGCCCUCUUAAGUUGGUCAUGGCUUAUCCAAGUAGGUCUAGUGAAAUCCUCAAUGGACAUUUUUGAAAAAAAAGGUUAGUUUCGCUACAAGUUAGAAGUGCAUAUGUGAUACUUCAAAAUUCAAGAUGGCAUCUGUGCAAUUAUAACUCAUUAGAGGGGCAUUCAGUUAAUCUUCUCUUAAGAGUUUUAGCCUUUUAGGGCAUUAGGUUUGCGAGUUUAAGACUUUAGAGCAUUGCAAGUUAGGGUUUAGGGUUUUAAACUAAGAAGACAACCAAAAAUAUUCAGCAGACUACUAGCAUAUGCACUCCUCAAUCUGGAAAGAAAAAUGUUAGGAUGGCAAACCAGCAAACCAAACUAACAAUACAGUAAAAAGAUUCAACAAAUAACCAACGUACAAACUCGGCAAAACUAACUGAUAAAUAGAUGUCUAGGAUGGCAUACUGAACUAGCACGACAACACAAUAAGAUUUAGCAGAUAAUUGGCAUGUAAUCUCACCAAACUCAAACAUGCAUGUCUAGGCAAAUAACAGCAAAAUAACUUGCAUAUAUGAAUAGAUGUCUAGAGUCGCAAAUAGGAAUAGCAAAAUAAGAUUAGCAAAUAACCAGAUUAUAUGCUCAUCAAUCCAGCUCAAACAUAGAUGUCGAGAAUGAAAACCUAGAAGGACGGUAAAAGGAGAUUUAGCAAUUCAACAAUGAUAUGAGUCGAUUGAGCACAAGACUAAAAGAUAAAUUUAUGUACAGCAUGGUCGACGCAACAGGAUAGUAAAUUUCAACAAAUUAACUGUCAUAUGAGUAGAACAAGCUCAAAUUUAUAACAUGCCUCAUGUGCAAAUGACGGAUGAAAAAGACUAAUCUGUGCCACCCUUACCACCACUAUUUGGUGGUUUAUAGUUGCUCCGUUAGCUCAGAAUAGAAUGGAGAUUCGUGCAUUUUUGGCACAUGCAAUAUUAAUAAAAUUCUAACCAAUGCAAUGAAUGUAAAAAUACAACUUUGUUAUCUCGGCAAGCAUUGGAAGCCCAAGCAAAAGCUAGAUGCUGGACAAGAGACGGAUUGUAGUUUGAAUAAAUCAACCAUACAAACACCAAAGCAUCCAUUCCAAUAGUAAUAUACUAGUUCAAAUUUUAUGAAAGGAAACUCGUUUCGAUCUCAUUGAUACUGGAAGUGGUAGUGUCGUAUAAAGGCCCCUAAAGGAUCAUUGCUAUAUCUGCUGGAGUGCAGCUGCACCAAGUCUUCUCACUGACAAGUCUAUAGUUGGACCUUUUUUUGUACCAUAAAAUACAAAGUUUUCACUUUUGGCCUAAAAUAUCCAAUCUCUCGCAUCAGUGGGUCACACAAUUAAUGGACCUUAGGAAUAGGACAGACGAUUGACAGUACAAUCUUCAAUUUAAUCUAGGACCAUUUUGUUCUAUUUUUGCUUUUGAUAGGAAAAAUACUCGGUGGUGAAAUUUGUGCAUACAUAGUUUCCCAACUUGAUUUCAAAGCAACAAGUAGCAUAUUAUACACAUUAUGCGGGCUAAAUUUGGAGUAAAUAUUAUUGAGAAACAUAAUUGUGCGGCUUGUAAUUUGGAUAGUACAAAGCCCCGCCCGACUAAUGACCGUUUGGCCUAGCUUCUACUUUGACCCUCAGCAACAGCAACCUAUGAUAAAAUAUUUGACUUUUUUUAAAGAGCACUUGCUAUGCUUGAAAGUUGUACUCAAAAGCAGAAAAUACUCUUUGGAGAGUUUUAACAAGAAAUGAGGGGAGCGAGGGGGUUGUGGUUAACAAGAAAGCAGUUAGUACUACAAAUAGCAUUGCCAACACAACAUGACCCUAUGUCUCUUGGGAUCCUUCUAAUACCACAAGAUCAAAUCCUCACUCUCCAAACCCAAAUUAUUACUAUCCCCAAAUCAAAUAACUAAGUUUUUAAAAGUCAUUGUCCUCUAUGAGAGAAUACUCAAUCAACCCACACCUUUAUUAACAAAAAAAACUUCUGGUUAUAGUCACCUAAGAAAGAACCUACUCUUCCACUUGGCAACUCUUCAAAUUAAAUGCCAUACAGUCUAAUUCUCAUUGCUUUGAGUAAUGUUAAUUAUCAACUCCACCAGCUGGAGGAAUAUUCCACUUAAACUCAAACACAGCGAAUGUCAUUAUUCAAGACCGCAAGUGAGAUAUUUUGAUUUUCACUUGCUGUCGCCUCAAUGUUCAAGUUACCAGCCACCUCAUGCACUGCCACUUGCUACAGUCCAAAUAACUCGCAUACUUUGACAAUGAAAAAGAAAAUCUCAAGUCGUCCUCAAGACUAGUAUUCCAUUCAUUGGUGAAUUUUGACAAUAGAACAUAUAAUUGGGGUUACUCUCCGCCAAACAAAAAAAAAUGGGAGGUAAAUGAUAUUGCAUAAGCAAAUAUAAAAAUGGCCAAUCAUUUUAAUCAACCAUAGGUUCAUAAUAACUGCAAUGCCCUUAAUAGAUAUUAGUAUAUCAACAAUCUCGUGACUCUCGUCUAACAUAAUUUUGCUAUAGUUUCUAAAAAUGAUAGUAGUUAGAUAAUAUUAGUAUCUUAUAAAAGAGUCGUAAAUUAAUUAAUUGCAGAAUCUAUUGUCUUUCAAAAAAUUAUCACAAAUAAAAGAAAACAUGCCAAACACUUUAGUCGUGCCAAACACAAGACAACAUCAC
This 15540-nucleotide long non-coding RNA is filed under the name Ananas comosus (pineapple). RNAcentral's name for it is "long non-coding RNA (ACOM_LNC021632)". The record is from RNAcentral. Lineage: Eukaryota; Viridiplantae; Streptophyta; Magnoliopsida; Poales; Bromeliaceae.